UUGACCUCGGAUCAGGUAGGGAUACCCGCUGAACUUAAGCAUAUCAAUAAGCGGAGGAAAAGAAACCAACAGGGAUUGCCCUAGUAACGGCGAGUGAAGCGGCAACAGCUCAAAUUUGAAAGCUAGCCUUCGGGUUCGCAUUGUAAUUUGUAGAGGAUGCUUUGGGGAAGUCGCCUGUCUAAGUUCCUUGGAACAGGACGUCAUAGAGGGUGAGAAUCCCGUAUGUGACAGGAAAUGACACCCUAUGUAAAGCUCCUUCGACGAGUCGAGUUGUUUGGGAAUGCAGCUCUAAAUGGGAGGUAAAUUUCUUCUAAAGCUAAAUACCGGCGAGAGACCGAUAGCGCACAAGUAGAGUGAUCGAAAGAUGAAAAGCACUUUGGAAAGAGAGUUAAAAAGCACGUGAAAUUGUUGAAAGGGAAGCGCUUGCAAUCAGACUUGUCUUUAACCGUUCGGCCGGUCUUCUGACCGGUUUACUCGGUAAUCGACAGGCCAGCAUCAGUUUCGGCGGUCGGAUAAAGGCCUUGGGAAUGUGGCUCUGCCUUCGGGGAGAGUGUUAUAGCCCAGGGUGUAAUACGGCCAGCCGGGACUGAGGUCCGCGAUUCGUCUAGGA
RNAcentral lists this ribosomal RNA (610 nucleotides) under Dothideales sp. P25A005. RNAcentral describes it as "LSU rRNA". It matches the Rfam family "Eukaryotic large subunit ribosomal RNA", at positions 1 to 623 of the family's 3401-position model. The record is from RNAcentral. Lineage: Eukaryota; Fungi; Ascomycota; Dothideomycetes; Dothideales.